GCCUGGGGCUAGCUCAGUUGGUAGAGCAUCAGACUUUUAAUCUGAGGGUCCAGGGUUCAAGUCCCUGGUCCAGGUG
Non-coding RNA from Chelonoidis abingdonii (Abingdon island giant tortoise), 76 nucleotides. Lineage: Eukaryota; Metazoa; Chordata; Testudines; Testudinidae. The record is from the annotation of a RefSeq genome assembly.